Molecule: non-coding RNA, 92 nt
Organism: Ciona savignyi (Pacific transparent sea squirt)
Lineage: Eukaryota; Metazoa; Chordata; Ascidiacea; Phlebobranchia; Cionidae
Source: Rfam
GCUUAUCACCAUUCCAGAUUGAAUAUACCCGAUCUCGUCUGAUCUCGGAAGUCAAGCAAUCUCGGGCUUGGUUAGUACUUGGAUGGGUGACC